AAAUUACUCCCUCCGUUUCAAAAUAAGUGACUCAAAAAUGACUCUAUUUUGUACUAAACUUAGUAUAAAAGUGAGUCAUUUUUGAGUCACUUAUUUUAGAACGGAGGGAGUAUAUC
Molecule: microRNA precursor, 116 nt
Filed under: Hordeum vulgare
Lineage: Eukaryota; Viridiplantae; Streptophyta; Magnoliopsida; Poales; Poaceae
Description: microRNA MIR1122
Rfam family: MIR1120/MIR1122 microRNA precursor family
Source: RNAcentral